GAAUUUUCAACCAGAAGCAGCUGAAAGUUUUUCCAAUUUAAUCUGCAAAUGCAGUUGGGGGAUUUUUCACAUGAAUCAACUUGUUUGGCUUGACAAACCUUCUCUGUGCUCAGUCUGGGUCUCACAAAGGUGCUCUGUGUGUAAAUUUGCAGGAGGGUGGAAGGAGGUGCAUGGAAGUUCAAGAUCCAGAGCCCCAAGGGUCCAGCCCCUCUAUUCUCUCCUGGCUUCUGCUGGGAUGUUAUCCUAGAAGGCUCAGGCCAUCCUCAGCCACCUCCACCUCUCGGACACCAGUUCUCGGGUGGGAAUCUGAGCCUCCACCUGCCGCUGGGCUGUCAUCAAGCCAGAAGUGACACUGAGACGAUCUAGCUGUCAUCGGCACGUUAGGAGCCCAUGAAGGUGAAUCGGGGGACUGCAGACAUAGCUCACGUUGAACUGCGCAUCCCAGAGCCAACCACAACAAAACUCCAAAGAGGAAAGGUCAGACCCAUGAAGUGCUAUUUGUUUUCACUGAAACUCCAUCCCACCCACUUAACACCCGUCUAACCAGGAACGGAAUCAAUUACCACGUGUCAGGCCGAAAUCUGACACAAGAAAUGAAAGAAGGACACAAUCUCCCCAGGGGGGUGGCAGGCGGGCAGAAAGGGUGGGGGAGAUAGAAAACCCAGGGAAGGGAGCCAUGAAUGAGCCACUUUCUCCUGUAAUUAAGGGUUAAAGGCAGCCAGAGACCUGAUUCCCUUCUCUCUCUCUCUUCUGGCCUUAGAGCCCAGAUUGGUAUUACUGUUGGACUACUGGGUGUUUCUGUCAUAAAAGAUGGUCAGCAAGACUGUGAGGUUAUUCGACUUUGGUUACAUAAGUUGCUCCAUUUAAUAAUUAAAGACCAAAAGGUUCUAGACGUUUACUAUUUUGUAGAGCUCCAGGAGCGAGAAUUCCUGGCAGAUCAUGUUCGGCUGCCAUGCCUAUUUGAGCUGAUUGAGUUGCUGCGUUUCUCAGGCUUCUGUUAAAUGUGGUGUCAGCUCAUCCGAGAGUGCCCACUUACGAUGAUGUCAUUCACUUGCUACAUUUAUGCAAGUCUUGAAAAGAGAGCUCACGGGCUGCUCAGGCAGAAUCCACAAAAGUUCAGAGGAUGGAUCUCGGCAGAAGUUAGCCUGGAGUGGUGCGGACAAGUAGUCUUCACAGAAAUCAAAAUAUAAUGAUGUACAACCGAAAUGUGUAUAAUAUUAUAAACCAAUGUGACCUCAAUAAAAAAAGAAAAACAAAACCCAAUCUAAAAAGCAGUUGUUUAACUUGAAAGUUAGCACCCUGUAAGUUGAAAAGCAUUUCAAAUAAAUGAAGAUGUUCUUCAGGAAGAAACAUUCAUCUGGUGCUACUUCACCAGCUCUAUCAAAUAAGACAUUUUCAGUUUUUAGUUUUUGUUAAUAAAGGACACCUAUACUCUUAAACUUUUAUUAAUGGGGUCCAAGGAUGAAGAACCCUCUUGUCCUCAGCUAGAGCAUUAGAGGGCAUUUUCUGAUCUGUCCUAUAAAUGGCCUUACCCCGCAUUGCCCUACUGUAUUGGAAUGUUCCAGGUAUGAAGCAUUGAUUAAACUGGAACAUGGAUACAGAAAGCAGGGAGCAUGCUCCAGAUAUCCUGGUGGUAAUUAAAGGACAUUUCCAUUUAUUGGCAGGAAUUAAUGAAAGGUAAAAGUUUUGACAAUUAACAUUGUCAGUGGCAUCGUAAGCAGCGUGCUAAUGAAUGAAUCCAUGAAUUGUUCUUUGCCGAAGUUAUUAGCUUUAUUUUGUCAUCUGAUAUUGAUACCUCCCUAGGAUGCUACUCUCAGAUUAUUUCUAUUCUUCUCAUGUAAAUGGUGCUCAGCCGUUGGUUCUUUUGUCUGCAGAGAGAGAGAGAGACGUGUGCGCAUUCUCUGCUCUCUCAAAGUGACGCUGCCUACAGUGUGGUUUUGUUCACUGCCUACAUGGUAAUGCCCCUUCUGUCUUGAUUCUUAUACCGAUCUUCAUUUCCUGGGCUCAGCCCUGCACCUCCAUCUCCGGGGAGAAAUUGUGCCCACUGACUCCCAGACACCUUAAAGUCAGCAGGUCACAGUGGCAUCAAUCACCUUGCCCAGAUUUGUCUCCUCCUCCACUUGUAUUCUCCAUUUCAAAGGUGGGAGCAAUAGGCAGCACACUCUUUGACAUUGGU
Molecule: non-coding RNA, 2176 nt
Organism: Equus caballus (horse)
Lineage: Eukaryota; Metazoa; Chordata; Mammalia; Perissodactyla; Equidae
Source: RefSeq, a predicted model, not a curated record